CGACCGGGAGCGGGAUACACUGGGUCGCCGUAGGAUUCGAGCAUCCUCUUUGCCCCGCUUGUAUUUGUAUGGAUGUUCUCGUUGCCCACCACCUUUGCCUCUGCAACAACCAUGAAAAAUAUAACUGAUUUAUGGGGAUAGGAUUCUCAAAAAAAAAAAACAAAAAAAUUAUGGGGAUAGGUGAAGGACAGCACCAGUUGGUUGAUGACUCCAAAAUAAAGAAAAUAAAACUCUCCUCAUCAUCUUCCGUGUAAAAAUUUCGACAAAUAUCAACUUGACAGAUACGUAAUAGUUUAACAGAGGAAUUAGCAGAAGAAAUAUUGUAUGCAAGGGUUUAAUUGCUUCCACAUAUCUACACAGCAGCCUAGGCCCGAAGUUUAAUUGGUUAUUAUACUUACCCAACAUAAUAAGCUGCUGCAUGACUAAAAGAAAUGAUGAUACCAGAGAAGCCAACGAGCCAAUGUUGCUCGCCCAUUUAUGCCCCUUCAGCAUGAAAUAAAAUUUCUCUUGCUAAAUUAAGCUGUUCUAUGAUAAGUGGGUAUGAUUUUUUUGGAGGGGGAAAGGGGAGGGAGAGAGCGAGAGAACGAUACUUACUUUGCUGAGCGUUUUGACCAAUAAGUUCCCUCGAGGCCAAAACGGGUAUGAUGGCUAUACUAGACACAAGAAGCAAGAGCAGUAUGCGUGUUUUGGGAGCCAUCAUCUCUUGACACGCCC
Molecule: long non-coding RNA, 714 nt
Filed under: Phoenix dactylifera (date palm)
Lineage: Eukaryota; Viridiplantae; Streptophyta; Magnoliopsida; Arecales; Arecaceae
Description: long non-coding RNA (PDAC_LNC014016)
Source: RNAcentral